GCGGGGCACCCACGUGAGGGCCGCACGUCUGCGGGGAGUCACGUGACCGGGGCGCGCCGCAGCCGCCGGGGCGCACCCGGCGAGAGGCAGCGGCAGUGAUGGACGGGUCCGGGGAUCAUCUCGGAGGCGGCGGUGAGGCGGGAGGCGGAGAACUAGGCCGGGUCCAAGGACCCCAGGACCCCUCCGGCUGUGGGCUCGGGCGGGGGCUGGCUGGGGCGCGCGGAUCCAUUCCGACCGGCGCAUCCGCACCCUGUGAGCGGACAUCCGCGUGCGCGCCCCCGGGCAGGCCCGGGCUUGUCGCUGGCGCCACUUCCUGCUGGUGGCCUGGGAUGGAUCGGAAGGCCAGCGCCAUCCCCCCAGCUGGGGGUCUGUUUGCUUUAGGGAUUCCGCAGUCUGGGUUAGCAGAGGAGCUGGGAUGCAGGUUGGGUCCCGCCCCCUGUCCAUCAGAAGCAGUAGCCCUACUUGUCACUACUAGGGUCCCCAGCUCUGUCUCCCCUCAGGGUUAUGAGCCUACUCAGCCCCCUGACUCUCCCUGGGACCCAGGAGUCCAGGCACCCCUUUCCUCCUCUCUCCACCAGGGCCCACCAGCUCUGAACAGAUCAUGAAGACAGGGGCCUUUUUGCUACAGGGUUUCAUCCAGGAUCGAGCAGAGAGGAUGGCUGGGGAGACACCUGAGCUGACCUUGGAGCAGCCGCCCCAGGACGCAUCCACCAAGAAGCUGAGCGAGUGUCUCAGGCGAAUUGGCGAUGAACUGGACA
This 758-nucleotide long non-coding RNA is filed under the name Rattus norvegicus (Norway rat). Its description in RNAcentral is "long non-coding RNA NONRATT002645". The record is from RNAcentral. Lineage: Eukaryota; Metazoa; Chordata; Mammalia; Rodentia; Muridae.